Molecule: ribosomal RNA, 468 nt
Filed under: uncultured bacterium
Lineage: Bacteria
Description: partial 16S ribosomal RNA
Rfam family: Bacterial small subunit ribosomal RNA
Source: RNAcentral
GACGAACGCUGGCGGCGUGCUUAACACAUGCAAGUCGAACGGAAAGGCCCUGCUUUUGUGGGGUGCUCGAGUGGCGAACGGGUGAGUAACACGUGAGUAACCUGCCCUUGACUUUGGGAUAACUUCAGGAAACUGGGGCUAAUACCGGAUAGGAGCUCCUGCUGCAUGGUGGGGGUUGGAAAGUUUCGGCGGUUGGGGAUGGACUGGGGGCUUAUCAGCUUGUUGGUGGGGUAGUGGCUUACCAAGGGUUUGACGGGUAGCCGGCCUGAGAGGGUGACCGGCGUCCUGGGGACUGAGGUACGGCCCAGACGCGUACGGGAGGCAGCAGUGGAGAAUAUUGCACAGUGGGCGGGAGCCUGAUGCGGCAACGCCGCGUGCGGGAUGACGGCCUUCGGGUUGUGAACCGCUGUAGCCUGUGACGAAGCGUGAGUGACGGUAAUGGGUAAAGAAGCACCGGCUAACUACGUG